Molecule: long non-coding RNA, 204 nt
Filed under: Elaeis guineensis (African oil palm)
Lineage: Eukaryota; Viridiplantae; Streptophyta; Magnoliopsida; Arecales; Arecaceae
Description: long non-coding RNA (EGUI_LNC002495)
Source: RNAcentral
UUCUUCUUCUAAUUAGACUUUCUAUUGGUAGAAGUAGCUUGCUCUACAAUGAGAGCCAUGCUCCUUGAACCCUUCAAGACCUCUUUAGCAUUUACCAAUAGGUUUAACAAUUCAGUGCAGUCUAUCUUAUUCAUAUGGUAGUUUACUAUAAACUAUCCAUACAAAUCAGAAAAAAAUUGCACAAUUAAAUCCACUUAUAAUUCC